CAAACGUUCACGGGUGAGCUACAUAAAAUGCACGUGAGUACUUAUGCAGUAAACACUAUAAUUUUUGGAUAUACAAUCGCUUCUCUUCAAACCCUCAGAUUAAUAAUGCAGAGCUGGUCGCCAUGUCCCAAAAGUCAUCACCUUGUCUUUGCCAUCGUUCAAUCAUUUUCAAGCAAGCAGCUAAAAUAUAAAUCAGCUUUUGAAACCCUCUAUAUAAAGCUAGGUUGGGCCCUUUUUUGGUUCAUAAACAAAAAGCUGAGCUGAUCUGCUUUGGUGUUUGAGAAUUGUAAGAUGUCUGAGCAGGGAAGAGGCAGUGCAGGAAACCAUUGGAGUGGUGGUAGUUUUAUGCCUAAUGGUUCAGCUGGGAUGCAGCAACGCAGCCACUUAUAGGGUUGGAGAGUCUGGUGGCUGGAGCUUCAACACAGAUAGCUGGCCUAAUGGAAAGCAAUUUAGAGCUGGCGAUGUGCUUUGUAAGUUUCUGACCUACCCUCGAGAGAUCUUAAUACCGUAUGAAUCAAAAUGUAAGCUAUGUAUAACAAUCAUUGGAAAAUUUUCAAACCAAACACGAGUAGCUGAAGAAGCAACACCUCGUCUAGCCAUAAUAUCUGCCAUUUGAUUAGAUUUCAAAUAGGCAUGUUCUUGGUGCCAGUCAAUGGCCAACUAUAAAACUAGAUGCUCCUUUGUCGCUCUCGUGUCAUUUUUAUAGAUAUUCCCAACCUGGCAAUCAGAGUUCACGGACUUGCAUUAAAAUUUGUCUCGGUGAGCUUCUCUUCAUGUGCAUGGUCAUAUUAUCAUUUUUAUUGUUGUCUUCAGGCCCGCAGUAACUUACAAUUUCCUUCCUUUAUUUUAUCAAGGCCCAUACCUAUGAUAAAG
This 873-nucleotide long non-coding RNA is filed under the name Prunus dulcis (almond). Its description in RNAcentral is "sRNA ncRNA". Lineage: Eukaryota; Viridiplantae; Streptophyta; Magnoliopsida; Rosales; Rosaceae. The record is from RNAcentral.